Molecule: long non-coding RNA, 793 nt
Organism: Gastrolobium bilobum
Lineage: Eukaryota; Viridiplantae; Streptophyta; Magnoliopsida; Fabales; Fabaceae
Exons: 5
Source: RefSeq, a predicted model, not a curated record
AUAAGAGAGGGGGGGAGGCAAACUCUCUCUAUCACCAAGUUCACCUCUUUGAAGAUCGCUCAUUUUGUUAUCACUUGCAGCUUCUGCUGACGGCACAACCGAAGGUAAAAAGCUAGAGAGGGCUGGAAGUUUGGCAGGUCGGGAUGAGGAACUAAAGGGAUCUUGCAUGCAAGAAUCUGAACCUGAAUCAAAUCAGGAAGGAUGAAACUCUUCUGGUAUUCGGAUCAGGUAUCAAUUCUCUUCGGUUAAAGAAGUUUUAAAAGGAAUCUUCUAGCAAAACUCAAGGUACAAGAAAGAGGGGAAGGGUGACAAGAGUGGAGCAAUCAAGUUAGGUGUCAUAAGGAACCACAAGGAUGUAGUUGAAUACCUUGAGGGUGUGUUUGGUACAAGAGAAAUUUUUUGGUGACCGGGAAUCAUGAUUAAUGGGAAUUCAGUAGAAAUUGAAUAUACUUGGAAUCUUACGAAAGAUGUGUUUGGUUCGCCAAAAUAUUACCGGGAAUAUUGGGUAACAAAGAAGACAGAGGAAAAGCCACUAUUCAAAUCACUGAGAAAGAAUGAUAGCAUUAUUCGAAAGAAAUUAAUUAGUUGAAAGGUCUUCCAGAUGUUGCUAACCGAAUCUUAACUUAUGGUUGUGCAUUUUGGUGCCGUUAUUGGACUCUUGUAAAUAUGUCUAGAUAUUUUCCUUGUCGCAACUAGUGUGGACCUGCCAAUAUUUAUGUCUUUUGUAAUGAAGAAUAGCUAGAGCAGUAAUAUUUUGAUGGAUAGAGACUGAGUACUUUUGAAAGCUAAAGUG